This 874-nucleotide long non-coding RNA is filed under the name Mus musculus (house mouse). RNAcentral describes it as "Hand2, opposite strand 1". The record is from RNAcentral. Lineage: Eukaryota; Metazoa; Chordata; Mammalia; Rodentia; Muridae.
GAGCCGAGUCUCUUUGACCAGGCUAGAGCGCCAGCGCUCCUCUGACCCGGCACACUUUGGCAAAGUUGCAGUGGCCUGUUUGCUUAGGCACUGAAGUGGAUGACCCAAGUUAGGAUGACAACUUGCAGAGAACGCGGAUGAGACCUUCAGUUUGUGCCCACACUCAUUUGCAGCAACCCUAACAGAGAUUGCGAAGAUUUUCAAAGUGGGGCACCUCGAUUUCUCGAAUCUGUGGUGUGGCGAAUAUCCGUGUUCCUCCUGCUUAACUAGCCUGUUUGAAGGCACAGUUCAUUCUCGAGCAAUUCGUCACCUCCUGGGGGUCUUCUCUUCCCGUCUACAGGAGAGUGUGACUUCAGAAAGAACUUCGGAUUGGCCAAGGCCAUUAAAGCUGGUGAGCGACUUGGAAGUCAUUUAGAAAGGAACAGACCUUCAACCUCAAGCCUUUGCGGGCACUGGGAAAGUGUCUUCCCAAUCAAUCUGGCUUGCAGGCGGCAGGACCAACUCUGACCUGGCUUAUCUUGUACCCAUCCUAAAUACACCAAACUCAAGAGGUAGCCAGGGCCGCCUCAACACCGAGGUCUGAUUCUAUUUAUUCUAAAGACAGAGUUGGAGAUGGGCUACCAUUGGUGUUGAUUGAGAUGACAAGCAGUCACCUGAGCCCAUACAGCUGGUAAGUAGAACAGUACUGGAGAGAUGGCUCAGCAGUUAAGAGCACUGACUGCUCUUCCAGAGAUCCUGAGUUCAAUUCCCAGCAACCACAUGGUGGCUCACAAACAUCUGUAAUGAGAUCAGGUGCCCUCUUCUGGUGCCUUUGAAGACAAAGACAGUGUAGUGUCAUAUAUAUAAAAUAAAUAAAUCUUUAGAAAUUUGAAAA